GUACACGCUGUGACUAGCAUAUCAAUAAGCGGAGGAAAAGAAACUAACAAGGAUUCCCCUAGUAACGGCGAGUGAAGCGGGAAGAGCUCAAAUUUGAAAUCUUAAAGGGUUUCCCUUUACGAAUUGUAGUUUAAAGAAGUGUUUUCUGUUGAGGUUUUGGUAAAAGUUCUUUGGAAUAGGACAUCAUAGAGGGUGAGAAUCCCGUAUUUGACCUUUACUUUCAACUUUGUGAUACACUUUCAAAGAGUCGGAUUGUUUGGGAAUGCAGUCCAAAAUGGGUGGUAAAUUUCAUCUAAAGCUAAAUAUUGGCGAGAGACCGAUAGCGAACAAGUACCGUGAGGGAAAGAUGAAAAGAACUUUGAAAAGAGAGUUAAACAGUAUGUGAAAUUGUCAAAAGGGAAGCGUUUGACACCAGUGUUGUUUUUCUGAAAAUCAAUUAAAGAACUGUUUAUGCUAAGCUGUUUAGACUUUAUCAGCUAAUCUGUUUAGUUUUGAGCUUUUCUUUAAUGCACUUUUCAGUUAACAAGUCAACAUCAAUUUCUUUUGCUGUAAAAAAGCUUGAGGAAGGUGGCUUGAGAUUCGUCUUAAGUGUUUAUAGCCUCUUGCCUAUGCAGUCGGAGAGAUUGAGGUCUGCAGCGUAGAUCCUUCGGGGCUAAAUGCAUUUGUGCUAAGUUAUAGCAUUUUAUAGACAACUUGUUGACUAUGAUUUGUCUUGUAGCUUACUCGCUUAUGUUAUUUUACCUACGCUUAGGAUGUUGAAGAUGUAGCACAUCAU
This 775-nucleotide ribosomal RNA is filed under the name uncultured Neocallimastigales. RNAcentral describes it as "partial large subunit ribosomal RNA". It matches the Rfam family "Eukaryotic large subunit ribosomal RNA", at positions 22 to 635 of the family's 3401-position model. Lineage: Eukaryota; Fungi; Neocallimastigomycota; Neocallimastigomycetes; Neocallimastigales. The record is from RNAcentral.